AUGAACGCUAGCUACAGGCUUAACACAUGCAAGUCGCGGGGCAGCAUGGGGGUUGCUUGCAAUCCCCGAUGGCGACCGGCGCACGGGUGAGUAACGCGUAUCCAACCUGCCCUUCACCACGGGAUAACCCGGCGAAAGUCGGACUAAUACCGUAUGUUGUCCAUUGACGGCAUCCGAUUUGGACGAAAGGUUUGGCGGUGAAGGAUGGGGAUGCGUCCGAUUAGCUGGACGGCGGGGUGACGGCCCACCGUGGCGACGAUCAGUAGGGGUUCUGAGAGGAAGGUCCCCCACACUGGAACUGAGACACGGUCCAGACUCCUACGGGAGGCAGCAGUGAGGAAUAUUGGUCAAUGGGCGUAAGCCUGAACCAGCCAAGUAGCGUGCAGGAUGACGGCCCUAUGGGUUGUAAACUGCUUUUAUGCGGGGAUAAAGUGGCCCACGUGUGGGUUUUUGCAGGUACCGCAUGAAUAAGGACCGGCUAAUUCCGUG
RNAcentral lists this ribosomal RNA (489 nucleotides) under uncultured bacterium. RNAcentral describes it as "partial 16S ribosomal RNA". It matches the Rfam family "Bacterial small subunit ribosomal RNA", at positions 29 to 507 of the family's 1533-position model. The record is from RNAcentral.